AGUGAACGCUGGCGGUAGGCCUAACACAUGCAAGUCGAACGGCAGCACAGUAGAGCUUGCUCUUACGGGUGGCGAGUGGCGGACGGGUGAGGAAUACAUCGGAAUCUACUUUUUCGUGGGGGAUAACGUAGGGAAACUUACGCUAAUACCGCAUACGACCUACGGGUGAAAGCAGGGGAUCUUCGGACCUUGCGCGAUUGAAUGAGCCGAUGUCGGAUUAGCUAGUUGGCGGGGUAAAGGCCCACCAAGGCGACGAUCCGUAGCUGGUCUGAGAGGAUGAUCAGCCACACUGGAACUGAGACACGGUCCAGACUCCUACGGGAGGCAGCAGUGGGGAAUAUUGGACAAAGGGCGCAAGCCUGAUCCAUCCAUACCGCGUGGGUGAAGAAGGCCUUCGGGUUGUAAAGCCCUUUUGUUGGGAAAGAAAAGCAGCAGGUUAAUACCCCGCUGUUCUGACGGUACCCAAAGAAUAAGCACCGGCUAACUUCGUG
This 491-nucleotide ribosomal RNA is filed under the name uncultured bacterium. RNAcentral describes it as "partial 16S ribosomal RNA". It matches the Rfam family "Bacterial small subunit ribosomal RNA", at positions 29 to 507 of the family's 1533-position model. The record is from RNAcentral.